GACCCCAUCGUCUAGAGGCCUAGGACAUCGCCCUUUCACGGCGGUAACAAGGGUUCGACUCCCUUUGGGGUCGCCA
RNAcentral lists this transfer RNA (76 nucleotides) under Alphaproteobacteria bacterium. RNAcentral describes it as "tRNA-Glu". It matches the Rfam family "tRNA". From Rfam's summary of the family: Transfer RNA (tRNA) molecules are approximately 80 nucleotides in length. Their secondary structure includes four short double-helical elements and three loops (D, anti-codon, and T loops). Further hydrogen bonds mediate the characteristic L-shaped molecular structure. tRNAs have two regions of fundamental functional importance: the anti-codon, which is responsible for specific mRNA codon recognition, and the 3' end, to which the tRNAs corresponding amino acid is attached (by aminoacyl-tRNA synthetases). tRNAs cope with the degeneracy of the genetic code in two manners: having more than one tRNA (with a specific anti-codon) for a particular amino acid; and 'wobble' base-pairing, i.e. permitting non-standard base-pairing at the 3rd anti-codon position. The record is from RNAcentral. Lineage: Bacteria; Pseudomonadati; Pseudomonadota; Alphaproteobacteria.